GACGAACGCUGGCGGCGUGCCUAAUACAUGCAAGUUGAGCGCUGAAGGUUGGUACUUGUACCAACUGGAUGAGCAGCGAACGGGUGAGUAACGCGUGGGGAAUCUGCCUUUGAGCGGGGGACAACAUUUGGAAACGAAUGCUAAUACCGCAUAAAAACUUUAAACACAAGUUUUAAGUUUGAAAGAUGCAAUUGCAUCACUCAAAGAUGAUCCCGCGUUGUAUUAGCUAGUUGGUGAGGUAAAGGCUCACCAAGGCGAUGAUACAUAGCCGACCUGAGAGGGGGAUCGGCCACAUUGGGACUGAGACACGGCCCAAACUCCUACGGGAGGCAGCAGUAGGGAAUCUUCGGCAAUAGACGAAAGUCUGACCGAGCAACGCCGCGUGAGUGAAGAAGGUUUUCGGAUCGUAAAACUCGGUUGGUAGAGAAGAACGUUGGUGAGAGUGGAAAGCUCAUCAAGUGACGGUAACUACCCAGAAAGGGACGGCUAACUACGUG
Molecule: ribosomal RNA, 497 nt
Filed under: uncultured bacterium
Lineage: Bacteria
Description: partial 16S ribosomal RNA
Rfam family: Bacterial small subunit ribosomal RNA
Source: RNAcentral